This 83-nucleotide transfer RNA is filed under the name Schistocephalus solidus. It matches the Rfam family "tRNA". Rfam says of the family: Transfer RNA (tRNA) molecules are approximately 80 nucleotides in length. Their secondary structure includes four short double-helical elements and three loops (D, anti-codon, and T loops). Lineage: Eukaryota; Metazoa; Platyhelminthes; Cestoda; Diphyllobothriidea; Diphyllobothriidae. The record is from Rfam by way of RNAcentral.
GGCCUCGUAGCUCAGUUGGCUAGAGCGUUGGCUGUACUAAAGCCUUCGUCUUGCUGGCGUGGGUUCAAAUCCCACCGAGGCCG